CAACUUUUGACAACGGAUCUCUUGGCUCUCGCAACGAUGAAGAACGCAGCGAAAUGCGAUACGUAGUGUGAAUUGCAGAAUUCCGUGAAUCAUCGAAUCUUUGAACGCAACUUGCACUCUGUUUCGGCAGAGUAUGCCUGUUUGAGAAUCUAU
This 153-nucleotide ribosomal RNA is filed under the name Entophlyctis sp. JEL174. RNAcentral's name for it is "5.8S ribosomal RNA". It matches the Rfam family "5.8S ribosomal RNA". Rfam says of the family: 5.8S ribosomal RNA (5.8S rRNA) is a component of the large subunit of the eukaryotic ribosome. Lineage: Eukaryota; Fungi; Chytridiomycota; Chytridiomycetes; Chytridiales; Chytriomycetaceae. The record is from RNAcentral.